Lathyrus oleraceus (garden pea) is the source of this 710-nucleotide long non-coding RNA. RefSeq lists it as uncharacterized. The transcript is spliced from 2 exons. NCBI's taxonomy places the organism in Eukaryota, Viridiplantae, Streptophyta, Magnoliopsida, Fabales, Fabaceae. The record is from RefSeq and is a predicted model, not a curated record.
CAUCACUUUUCGAAUGCUUUUCUCUCUCUUCGAUUUCUACCCUGAAAAACGCUCUGUACAAAGCGUCUCUCUCUCUGACCUCUUCGUCGGAGAAGAGAGCGGCGGGCGACCGUUUGCGACGGCGCCGCUUCAAUCUCACGGUGGUUCAACCACACGCGACCCUACCCCACCUAAACAAACCCUCUGAGUUUGAAUCCAGGCUCGGAUUUCAAAAAAAAAAAACCCCAUUCGUCCAGAUCUUGAAUCCCAAACGUAACCCUAACUUUUAACCAAACCAACAACAACAACAGUUCGAAGCAAACAAAGAACGAGAGCUUCGCAUGCAUGAAGAUCUAGUUAUGAAGGCGAUGCGAGGAGAUGGAAAUAAGAGGAAAAAAACCCGACCUGAGGCUUAGUUCGACGACGACGCUCCCAACGAAGCCAGGUUACAGGUGAAUUGACUUGAUGGAAUGGAAGGUGGCUGCUCCAAGACAACAAUUUUGAGGCGCGUCCAACUCCAAGGAAGGUCCAAUGGUCACCUGGUUUUGGUCCCUAGAAUCCUGUUUCCAACAGGAACACUUUUUCAUUUAAUUAAAAUGUAAUUGCUUAGGUUUUUUUUUAAAGACAAAUAUGUGUUUGGACUAUUUGUAACCCGUUGGAUUUGAAGUCUAAUAGCCAUUAACAACUAUGUAUUCAACAUGAUUUUAAGAUUAUUUCAAACAAUUUCUCCA